GAUGAAGAACGCAGCAAAAUGCGAUAAGUAAUGUGAAUUGCAGAAUUCAGUGAAUCAUCGAAUCUUUGAACGCACAUUGCGCCCGCUGGUAUUCCGGCGGGCAUGCCUGUUCGAGCGUCAUUUCAACCCUCAAGCCCCCGGGUUUGGUGUUGGGGAUCGGCUCUGCCCUUCUGGGCGGUGCCGCCCCCGAAAUACAUUGGCGGUCUCGCUGCAGCCUCCAUUGCGUAGUAGCUAACACCUCGCAACUGGAACGCGGCGCGGCCAUGCCGUAAAACCCCAUCUUCUGAAUGUUGACCUCGGAUCAGGUAGGAAUACCCGCUGAACUUAAGCAUAUCAACGGAGGA
RNAcentral lists this unclassified non-coding RNA (344 nucleotides) under soil metagenome. RNAcentral describes it as "partial contains 5.8S ribosomal RNA, internal transcribed spacer 2, and large subunit ribosomal RNA". The stretch from base 1 to 120 matches the Rfam family "5.8S ribosomal RNA", at positions 35 to 154 of the family's 154-position model. The record is from RNAcentral.